UCAUGUACUAAUAUCUGAUAAGGUAGUCUGCUCUUGCAGAUCAUAUGGUUGAUCAUUUUCCCAUACAAGUGUUACUAAACUCUACUAAGUUCUAUAACGACACAAGAUUAACUUGUUACAGGACAAGUGUACCGAGUAAUAGCAGCAAAGAAAGAGAGUCAUGUACUAAUAUCUGAUAAGGUAGUCUGCUCUUGCAGAUCAUCUGGUCGAUCAUUUUCCCAUACAAGUGUUACUACACUCUACAUUUGCAUAGAGUAAUAACACAAGAUUAACUUGUUACAGGACAAGUGUACAGAGUAAUGAGUAUG
RNAcentral lists this long non-coding RNA (308 nucleotides) under Triticum aestivum (bread wheat). RNAcentral describes it as "long non-coding RNA (TAES_LNC005586)". Lineage: Eukaryota; Viridiplantae; Streptophyta; Magnoliopsida; Poales; Poaceae. The record is from RNAcentral.